GAUGAACGCUGGCGGCGUGCCUAAUACAUGCAAGUCGAGCGAACAGACGAGGAGCUUUCUCCUCUGACGUUAGCGGCGGACGGGUGAGUAACACGUGGAUAACCUACCUAUAAGACUGGGAUAACUGCGAGAAACCGGAGAUAAUACCGGAUAAUAUAUUGAACCGCAUGGUUCUAUAGUGAAAUACUGUUUUGGUGUCAGUUAUAGAGAGAUCCGCCCCGCAUUAGCUAUUUGUUAAUUUAACGGCUUACCAAGGCAACGAUGCGUAGCCGACCUGAGAGGGUGAUCGGCCACACUGGAACUGAGACACGGUCCAGACUCCUACGGGAGGCAGCAGUAGGGAAUCUUCCGCAAUGGGCGAAAGCCUGACGGAGCAACGCCGCGUGAGUGAUGAAGGUCUUCGGAUCGUAAAACUCUGUUAUUAGGGAAGAACAAAUGUGUAAGUAACUAUGCACGUCUUGACGGUACCUAAUCAGAAAGCCACGGCUAACUACGUG
RNAcentral lists this ribosomal RNA (497 nucleotides) under uncultured bacterium. Its description in RNAcentral is "partial 16S ribosomal RNA". It matches the Rfam family "Bacterial small subunit ribosomal RNA", at positions 28 to 507 of the family's 1533-position model. The record is from RNAcentral.